CCUACGGGUGGCAGCAGUGGGGAAUAUUGCACAAUGGGGGAAACUCUGAUGCAGCGAUGCCGCGUGCGUGAAGACGUCUUUCUGUAUGUAAAGCUCCAUUUGCAGGGGAGAAAAUCACGGUACCUGUUUAAGAAUCCCCGGCUCCCUCCGUUACAGCACGCGAGGCAACACGUCGGGGGCCAGCGUUAUCCGGAUUUACCGGGUGUAAAGGGGGCGUAGGCGGCGGGAAAAGUGUGAGGGGAAAUGCCGGGGCUUAACCCCGGAACUGCUUUGGAUACUGUGGGGCUAGAGUGCAGGCGAGGUAGGUGGAAUGCAUGGUGUAGCGGUGAAAUGCAUAGAGAUUAGGAAGAACACCGAUGGCGAAGGCAGCUUACUGGACUGUAACUGACGUUGAGGCUCGAAAGCGUGGGGAGCAAACAGGAUUAGAUACCCCAGUAGUC
RNAcentral lists this ribosomal RNA (440 nucleotides) under uncultured bacterium. RNAcentral describes it as "partial 16S ribosomal RNA". It matches the Rfam family "Bacterial small subunit ribosomal RNA", at positions 338 to 795 of the family's 1533-position model. The record is from RNAcentral.